This 253-nucleotide ribosomal RNA is filed under the name uncultured bacterium. RNAcentral describes it as "partial 16S ribosomal RNA". It matches the Rfam family "Bacterial small subunit ribosomal RNA", at positions 524 to 776 of the family's 1533-position model. The record is from RNAcentral.
GACGAACCGAGCGAACGUUAUUCGGAAUCACUGGGCUUAAAGGGCGCGUAGGCGGGCUCGCAAGUCAGGGGUGAAAGCCCCCAGCUCAACUGGGGAAGUGCCUUUGAUACUGCGGGCCUCGAGGGAGGUAGGGGCGUGCGGAACUUCCGGUGGAGCGGUGAAAUGCGUAGAUAUCGGAAGGAACACCGGUGGCGAAAGCGGCGCGCUGGACCUCUUCUGACGCUGAGGCGCGAAAGCCAGGGGAGCAAACGGG